RNAcentral lists this small nuclear RNA (19 nucleotides) under Arabidopsis thaliana (thale cress). Its description in RNAcentral is "snRNA_17271". Lineage: Eukaryota; Viridiplantae; Streptophyta; Magnoliopsida; Brassicales; Brassicaceae. The record is from RNAcentral.
GCGCAAGUGAAAUACCACU